CCUACGGGAGGCAGCAGUAGGGAAUAUUGGGCAAUGGGGGCAACCCUGACCCAGCAACGCCGCGUGAGGGAAGAAGGUUCUCUGGAUUGUAAACCCCUGUCCUAUGGGACGAAUAGAUGACGGUACCAUAGGAGGGAGCUCCGGCUAACUACGUGCCAGCAGCCGCGGUAAUA
RNAcentral lists this ribosomal RNA (173 nucleotides) under uncultured bacterium. Its description in RNAcentral is "partial 16S ribosomal RNA". It matches the Rfam family "Bacterial small subunit ribosomal RNA", at positions 338 to 525 of the family's 1533-position model. The record is from RNAcentral.